Molecule: non-coding RNA, 175 nt
Filed under: marine sediment metagenome
Also listed under: 1 other name
Description: 6S / SsrS RNA
Rfam family: 6S / SsrS RNA
About the family: E. coli 6S RNA was the first non coding RNA to be sequenced, but its function was unknown until recently. It consists of 184 nucleotides that fold into an extended hairpin structure with a large single-stranded internal bulge.
Source: RNAcentral
UUCCUGCGGUGUUUGUUAGCAGCCGGGUAAAAUCUUGAGCCAUACUUUACUAGCAGGGUUUAACGUUCUGAUACUGUUGUGCAAGUCCGCCCUGUAGCGGAAAGCCUGAUGUAUCAACAUUAUUCCCACCUGAACCUCUGGUUCAAGGGCGAAAGCUGCGACGGCACUUGCGGGA